CAAUAACAACCGACGUCGUGUAGAACAGACCAGAAAAUUUUUACCCUUCCAAUUAUUAUUGAAUUGCGAUAGGUUUGUCUUGUUCAUUUCCAGAACCGCUCAUAUAUGAUCUUUGUGAGCAGAUAUCUGAGCGGUUGUUUAAAUAGGACAAUUUUCAAUUCAUUUAUAUAUUUCAACAGUGGUCCAGAUAGCAAAUGCACAACAGAGAAACACACAUGUUGGAGAAGUACCCCGGUUCGAAUCUCAUAAGUAUGCCGCAAAUCUAAAUAACAAAGAAACCUGAAAUAAUAUAACAGAAACCUAAUUAACAUCCAUAAAAAGAAUUGCAAUAAAUCUGUGUUGACCCACAUACUGUA
This is a long non-coding RNA of Toxorhynchites rutilus septentrionalis, 356 nucleotides long. RefSeq lists it as uncharacterized. The transcript is spliced from 2 exons. Lineage: Eukaryota; Metazoa; Arthropoda; Insecta; Diptera; Culicidae. The record is from RefSeq and is a predicted model, not a curated record.